CUGGAGGCUCAGGACCCAGGCUGCUGCACGUGCCCUGUGCUGGACACAGACUGGGGCACUGAGCGGGUGGGCAGAGGUGGGCUGCACCUGCCUUCUUGCUUGCAGAUCAGAGGGUGGCAUGACUCACAAGGCCUCCCCUGGCCACUCCACGCCCCGAGACCUCCCUCAGGUCAGGCGGCUCUCUUUGCCCCAGUCCCCACCCCACGCCCUUCUCUUCAGGGAAAAGUUCUAACGGCUUCCUCCGAAGGAAGCCACUCUGAAAUCCCAACCACCAGGGUUUUUUCCGGAACAUUCUAGAAGUCAGCAGUAACUCCUGACGGCAUCCAGGGGCAGGCGUUUAGAGAAGGAAAUUUCAUUUUGCUAAUUGCCACGCGGCCCGGCUACCCGAGGGCUGUGGUCUGGAUUGCGGGAGGGGGCAGUGUGGCUCACCACUCAGGGCCGACCCUGCCACCCGCGGCAGCUCGAGGAGCAG
RNAcentral lists this long non-coding RNA (472 nucleotides) under Marmota monax (woodchuck). The record is from RNAcentral. Lineage: Eukaryota; Metazoa; Chordata; Mammalia; Rodentia; Sciuridae.